This 505-nucleotide ribosomal RNA is filed under the name uncultured bacterium. Its description in RNAcentral is "partial 16S ribosomal RNA". It matches the Rfam family "Bacterial small subunit ribosomal RNA", at positions 28 to 507 of the family's 1533-position model. The record is from RNAcentral.
GACGAACGCUGGCGGCGUGCCUAAUACAUGCAAGUAGAACGCACAGUUUAUACCGUAGCUUGCUACACCAUAGACUGUGAGUUGCGAACGGGUGAGUAACGCGUAGGUAACCUGCCUGGUAGCGGGGGAUAACUAUUGGAAACGAUAGCUAAUACCGCAUAAUAUUGAUUAUUGCAUGAUAAUUGAUUGAAAGAUGCUAUUGCAUCACUACCAGAUGGACCUGCGUUGUAUUAGCUAGUAGGUGAGGUAACGGCUCACCUAGGCGACGAUACAUAGCCGAACUGAGAGGGUGAUCGGCCACACUGGGACUGAGACACGGCCCAGACUCCUACGGGAGGCAGCAGUAGGGAAUCUUCGGCAAUGGACGAAAGUCUGACCGAGCAACGCCGCGUGAGUGAAGAAGGUUUUCGGAUCGUAAAGCUCUGUUGUAAGAGAAGAACGGGUGUGAGAGUGGAAAGUUCACACUGUGACGGUAUCUUACCAGAAAGGGACGGCUAACUACGUG